This 491-nucleotide ribosomal RNA is filed under the name uncultured bacterium. RNAcentral describes it as "partial 16S ribosomal RNA". It matches the Rfam family "Bacterial small subunit ribosomal RNA", at positions 28 to 507 of the family's 1533-position model. The record is from RNAcentral.
GAUGAACGCUGGCUACAGGCUUAACACAUGCAAGUCGAGGGGAAACGCCGGGGAAGCUUGCUUCCCCGGGCGUCGACCGGCGCACGGGUGAGUAACGCGUAUCCAACCUGCCUCUGACUGAGGGAUAACCCGUCGAAAGUCGGCCUAAUACCUCAUGGUAUCGUCUGCGGGCAUCCAACGACGAUUAAAGAUUUCAUCGGUCAGGGAUGGGGAUGCGUCUGAUUAGCUUGUUGGCGGGGUAACGGCCCACCAAGGCUACGAUCAGUAGGGGUUCUGAGAGGAAGGUCCCCCACAUUGGAACUGAGACACGGUCCAAACUCCUACGGGAGGCAGCAGUGAGGAAUAUUGGUCAAUGGGCGAGAGCCUGAACCAGCCAAGUAGCGUGCAGGAAGACGGCCCUAUGGGUUGUAAACUGCUUUUAUGCGGGGAUAAAGUGAGGGACGUGUCCCUCAUUGCAGGUACCGCAUGAAUAAGAACCGGCUAAUUCCGUG